Molecule: ribosomal RNA, 253 nt
Filed under: uncultured bacterium
Lineage: Bacteria
Description: partial 16S ribosomal RNA
Rfam family: Bacterial small subunit ribosomal RNA
Source: RNAcentral
UACGGAGGGGGCGAGUGUUGUUCGGAAUUACUGGGCGUAAAGCGCACGCAGGUGGCUGAGUCAGUCGAUUGUGAAAGCCCUGGGCUUAACCUGGGAAUUGCAGUCGAUACUACUCAGCUAGAGUAUGGGAGAGGGUAGUGGAAUUCCCGGUGUAGCGGUGAAAUGCGUAGAUAUCGGGAGGAACAUCAGUGGCGAAGGCGGCUACCUGGCCCAAUACUGACACUCAGGUGCGACAGCGUGGGGAGCAAACAGG